UAGGGAAUCUUGCGCAAUGGGCGAAAGCCUGACGCAGCGACGCCGCGUGCGGGAAGAAGGCCUUCGGGUUGUAAACCGCUUUCAGGAGGGACGAAGCCACUCGGGUUAAUAGCCCAGAGGGUGACGGUACCUCCAGAAGAAGCCCCGGCUAACUACGUGCCAGCAGCCGCGGUAAUACGUAGGGGGCAAGCGUUGUCCGGAUUCAUUGGGCGUAAAGAGCGUGUAGGCGGUCAGGUAGGUCGGUUGUGAAAACUGGAGGCUCAACCUUCAGAGGUCGACCGAAACCCCCUGGCUAGAGUCCGGGAGAGGAGAGUGGAAUUCCUGGUGUAGCGGUGAAAUGCGCAGAUAUCAGGAAGAACACCCGUGGCGAAAGCGGCUCUCUGGAACGGUACUGACGCUGAGACGCGAAAGCGUGGGGAGCGAAC
Molecule: ribosomal RNA, 425 nt
Filed under: uncultured bacterium
Lineage: Bacteria
Description: bacterial SSU rRNA
Rfam family: Bacterial small subunit ribosomal RNA
Source: RNAcentral